This 166-nucleotide non-coding RNA is filed under the name uncultured Agathobacter sp. Lineage: Bacteria; Bacillati; Bacillota; Clostridia; Lachnospirales; Lachnospiraceae. The record is from RNAcentral.
AGCGAAGCUGUUUAGAGUCUGUAGAAUUAUGCCCUGUUUAUACAGAAAUGCACCGGCAUGGACGCCGGGGCAAGGCGUUAUGUGCCAUGGACGGCACAUAAAAGCCGGUUUCGUCGAGCAUAGAAAAACUAUGAGCAUAAUUCGUACAGCCUCUUAAUAGCGUAGC